CAGCAGCACACCGGACACGCACGUGCGGCUGCUGUCAGACAUGCUUAAGGCCGCGCUCCGCAAACUCCGGAAGAGCUCGGGACCCGGAGGGGAAAAGGCAGGCCGGGGCUCUGUGGACAGAGCGGACAGCCGGGGCUCUGUGGACACAGCGGACAGCCGGGCCUCUGUGGACACAGCGGACAGCCGGGCCUCUGUGGACAGAGCGGAC
Molecule: long non-coding RNA, 208 nt
Organism: Condylura cristata (star-nosed mole)
Lineage: Eukaryota; Metazoa; Chordata; Mammalia; Eulipotyphla; Talpidae
Exons: 3
Source: RefSeq, a predicted model, not a curated record